RNAcentral lists this ribosomal RNA (117 nucleotides) under Pteropus alecto (black flying fox). The record is from RNAcentral. Lineage: Eukaryota; Metazoa; Chordata; Mammalia; Chiroptera; Pteropodidae.
ACCAUUAAAAAGUUUGUGUUAUGUGCCCUAUCUCGUCUGAUCUCAGAAACUAAGCAGGGCUGGGCCUGGUUAGUACUUGGAUGGGAGACCACCUAGGAAUACCAGGUGCUGUAGGUG